CAUGACUAGAUGAUACCUGAGCUAUACUUGUUAUAAAAUAUUUUGACUGGGUAAUAUGCCACACUCCAACAGACCCUUUUCAUGUGUGUGUGUGGUGUGGUUGUGUCUGUAUGUGAGUGUGUGUGUGUGUGUGUGUGUGUGUGGUGUGGUUGUGUCUGUAUGUGUGUGUGUGUGUGUGUGGUGUGGUUGUGUCUGUAUGUGAGUGUGUAUGUGUGUGUGAGUGUGGUGUGGUUGUGUCUGUAUGUGAGUGUGUAUGUGUGUGUGUGGUGUGGUUGUGUCUGUAUGUGAGUGUGUGUGUGUGUGGUGUGGUUGUGUCUGUAUGUGAGUGUGUAUGUGUGUGUGUGGUGUGGUUGUGUCUGUAUGUGAGUGUGUAUGUGUGUGUGUGAGUGUGGUGUGGUUGUGUCUGUGAGUGUGUGUGUGUGUGAGUGUGGUGUGGUUGUGUCUGUAUGUGAGUAUGUGUGUGUGAGUGUGGUGUGGUUGUGUCUGUAUGUGAGUGUGUAUGUGUGUGUGUGAGUGUGGUGUGGUUGUGUCUGUAUGUGAGUGUGUAUGUGUGGUGUGGUUGUGUCUGUAUGUGAGUGUGUGUGUGUGUGAGUGUGGUGUGGUUGUGUCUGUAUGUGAGUGUGUGUGUGUGUGUGUGGUGUGGUUGUGUCUGUAUGUGAGUGUGUGUGUGUGUGUGUGAGUGUGGUGUGGUUGGGUGUGUGUGUGUGUGUGGUUAGGGCUUGGGUUCUAGCUUCCCCUCAUUAGUUCCAUCUCUCCUAAGACCCUCUUUUCCUCACCCCUGGAGGCUGCCCCUUUAGUGCCCUUU
Molecule: long non-coding RNA, 805 nt
Filed under: Homo sapiens (human)
Lineage: Eukaryota; Metazoa; Chordata; Mammalia; Primates; Hominidae
Description: HSALNT0106551
Source: RNAcentral